RNAcentral lists this ribosomal RNA (394 nucleotides) under uncultured bacterium. Its description in RNAcentral is "partial 16S ribosomal RNA". It matches the Rfam family "Bacterial small subunit ribosomal RNA", at positions 338 to 729 of the family's 1533-position model. The record is from RNAcentral.
CCUACGGGAGGCAGCAGUGAGGAAUAUUGGUCAAUGGCCGGAAGUCUGAACCAGCCAUGCCGCGUGCAGGACGACGGUUCUAUGCAUUGUAAACUUCUUUUGUACGGGGGCAAACUCAGGUUCGAGUAUCUGUCUGAAAGUAUCUUACGAAUAAGCAUCGGCUAACUCCGUGCCAGCAGCCGCGGUAAUACGGAGGAUUCAAGCGUUAUCCGGAUUUAUUGGGUUUAAAGGGUGCGUAGGCGGUCUGAUAAGUUAGAGGUGAAAUCCCGGGGCUCAACUUCGGAAGUGCCUCUGAUACUGUUCGUCUAGAGAGUACGAGCGGUAGGCGGAAUGUAUGGUGUAGCGGUGAAAUGCUUAGAGAUCAGACAGAACACCGAUUGCGAAGGCAGCUUAC